UGGGGAAUUUUGGACAAUGGGCGAAAGCCUGAUCCAGCAAUGCCGCGUGUGUGAAGAAGGCCUUCGGGUUGUAAAGCACUUUUGUCCGGAAAGAAAUCCUUGGCUCUAAUGCAGUCGGGGGAUGACGGUACCGGAAGAAUAAGCACCGGCUAACUACGUGCCAGCAGCCGCGGUAAUACGUAGGGUGCAAGCGUUAAUCGGAAUUACUGGGCGUAAAGCGUGCGCAGGCGGUUUGCUAAGACCGAUGUGAAAUCCCCGGGCUCAACCUGGGAACUGCAUUGGUGACUGGCAGGCUAGAGUAUGGCAGAGGGGGGUAGAAUUCCACGUGUAGCAGUGAAAUGCGUAGAGAUGUGGAGGAAUACCGAUGGCGAAGGCAGCCCCCUGGGCCAAUACUGACGCUCAUGCACGAAAGCGUGGGGAGCAAACAGGAUUAGAUACCCUGGUAGUCCACGCCCUAAACGAUGUCAACUAGUUGUUGGGGAUUCAUUUCCUUAGUAACGUAGCUAACGCGUGAAGUUGACCGCCUGGGGAGUACGGUCGCAAGAUUAAAACUCAAAGGAAUUGACGGGGU
RNAcentral lists this ribosomal RNA (571 nucleotides) under uncultured bacterium. RNAcentral's name for it is "partial 16S ribosomal RNA". It matches the Rfam family "Bacterial small subunit ribosomal RNA", at positions 355 to 919 of the family's 1533-position model. The record is from RNAcentral.